This 427-nucleotide ribosomal RNA is filed under the name uncultured bacterium. RNAcentral's name for it is "partial 16S ribosomal RNA". It matches the Rfam family "Bacterial small subunit ribosomal RNA", at positions 355 to 774 of the family's 1533-position model. The record is from RNAcentral.
UGGGGAAUAUUGCACAAUGGGCGCAAGCUUGAUGCAGCCAUGCCGCGUGUAUGAAGAAGGCCUUCGGGUUGUAAAGUACUUUCAGCGGGGAGGCAGGCGAUAAGGUUAAUAACCUUGUCGAUUGACGUUACCCGCAGAAGAAGCACCGGCUAACUCCGUGCCAGCAGCCGCGGUAAUACGGAGGGUGCAAGCGUUAAUCGGAAUUACUGGGCGUAAAGCGCACGCAGGCGGUCUGUCAAGUCGGAUGUGAAAUCCCCGGGCUCAACCUGGGAACUGCAUUCGAAACUGGCAGGCUAGAGUCUUGUAGAGGGGGGUAGAAUUCCAGGUGUAGCGGUGAAAUGCGUAGAGAUCUGGAGGAAUGCCGGUGGCGAAGGCGGCCCCCUGGACAAAGACUGACGCUCAGGUGCGAAAGCGUGGGGAGCAAACA